AACGAACGCUGGCGGCAGGCCUAACACAUGCAAGUCGAGCGCGCCCUUCGGGGUUAGCGGCGGACGGGUUAGUAACGCGUGGGAACGUUCCCUUCUCUGCGGAAUAGCCUCGGUACACUGAGAGUAAUACCGCAUACGCCCUUUGGGGGAAAGAUUUAUCGGAGAAGGAUCGGCCCGCGUUGGAUUAGGUUGUUGGUGGGGUAAUGGCCCACCAAGCCUACGAUCCAUAGCUGGUUUGAGAGGAUGAUCAGCCACACUGGGACUGAGACACGGCCCAGACUACUACGGGAGGCAGCAGAGGGGAAUAUUAGAAAAUGGGGGCAACCAUGAUAUAGCCAUGCCGCGUGAGUGAUGAAGGCAGGAGGGUAGAAAAGCUGUUUAAGCUGGGAAGAUAAUGACGGUACCAGCAGAAGAAGCAACGGCUAACUACGUG
Molecule: ribosomal RNA, 433 nt
Filed under: uncultured bacterium
Lineage: Bacteria
Description: partial 16S ribosomal RNA
Rfam family: Bacterial small subunit ribosomal RNA
Source: RNAcentral